UGUCAGAGAGGGUAUGUCUUCCUUGAGUGU
Molecule: non-coding RNA, 30 nt
Filed under: Homo sapiens (human)
Lineage: Eukaryota; Metazoa; Chordata; Mammalia; Primates; Hominidae
Source: RNAcentral